Molecule: ribosomal RNA, 1344 nt
Filed under: Triticum aestivum (bread wheat)
Lineage: Eukaryota; Viridiplantae; Streptophyta; Magnoliopsida; Poales; Poaceae
Description: partial small subunit ribosomal RNA
Source: RNAcentral
AUGAGCAAGCAAUGGACGCGGGUGCGGACGCUCGGCCGCGGCGCGUCGGGGGCAGAGGUGUUCCUCGCGGCGGACGACGCUUCGGGCGAGCUCUUCGCGAUCAAGUCCGCCGUCGGGGCGGCGUGCGCGGCGGCGCUCAGGAGGGAGCAGAUGGUGAUGGCCGGCCUGAGCUCACCGCGCGUCGUAUCCUGCAUCGGCGGCCGCGGCGCCCGCGACGGCUCCUAUCAGCUCUUCCUCGAGUUCGCCCCCGGCGGCUCGCUGGCGGACCAGGUGGCGAGCAACGGGGGCCUCGACGAGCGCGCCGUCCGCGGCUACGCGGCCGAUGUGGCGGCCGCGCUUGCGUAUCUCCACGGCGCUGGGAUGGUGCACGGGGACGUCAAGGCGAGGAACGUGGUGAUCGGCGCCGACGGCCGCGCCAAGCUCGCGGAUUUCGGGUGCUCGAGGAAGGCGGGCGCUGAUGUGCCGAUCAUCGGCGGCACGCCGGCGUUCAUGGCGCCGGAGGUGGCGCGCGGCGAGGAGCAGGGCCCCAGGGCCGACGUCUGGGCGCUCGGCUGCAUAGUUGUUGAGAUGGCCACCGGCCGCGCCCCGUGGAGCGGCAUGGACGGCGACGCGCUCGCGGCGCUGCACCGGAUCGGGUACACGGAUGCCGUUCCUGAGUUCCCCCAUUGGCUGUCCGCGGAGGCCCAGGACUUCUUGGCCAGGUGUCUUGUCAGGCAGGCCAGCGGCCGGUGCACGGCGGCGCAGCUGCUGGAGCAUCCGUUCUUGGCCGCCGCCGUCAUCGACGCGAACCCAGAAGCCGUGAAGAGCAAGUGGGUGUCGCCCAAGAGCACGCUCGACGCUGCAUUCUGGGAGUCGGAGUCCGACACCGACGAGCCGUCGCACGGCGCGGCCGAGAGCAGGAUCAGAGCAUUGGCCUGCCCUGCGUCGGCGCUCCCGGACUGGGACUCGGACGAGGGCUGGAUCGAUGUGCUCUCCGGGCCAACAGAAGCGCCUGUCGCCGCGCCGGCCAAGGUGACGACUGGCACCACCGUGGAGGACGUUAUCACCAGUGACGCAGAGUCCGGCGCUCUCGACAUUACCGUGGACGUGGAGCACAGCAGCGUGCUCAACGCAGGACAAGAGGCGGACGAUGAUGAGGAUGAAUCAGUAGUAGGGCACACUAGGCACCAGCCCUCGGAGAUUCUAGAUUCUCACCAGGUAGUGUCAUGUAAAUUGUUACUGUUAUGUAGCAACAGAAUCAGUAAUGCAAUCGAAUUUGUUCAUCAUGCCAAAGCACUCUGCUUCGCUAGCGCUACUCCUCUGUUUCUCUGCUCAUACUCGUGCUCCCCGUUGCGACACGAUUGA